This 460-nucleotide ribosomal RNA is filed under the name uncultured bacterium. RNAcentral's name for it is "partial 16S ribosomal RNA". It matches the Rfam family "Bacterial small subunit ribosomal RNA", at positions 338 to 795 of the family's 1533-position model. The record is from RNAcentral.
CCUACGGGAGGCAGCAGUGAGGAAUAUUGGUCAAUGGACGAGAGUCUGAACCAGCGAAGUAGCGUGACGGAUGACUGCCCUAUGGGUUGUAAACUUCUUUUAUAUGGGAAUAAAAUGUUCCACGUGUGGGAUUUUGUAUGUACCAUAUGAAUAAGGUUCGGCUAACUCCGUGCCAGCAGCCGCGGUAAUACGGAGGAUCCGAGCGUUAUCCGGAUUUAUUGGGUGUAAAGGGAGCGUAGGUGGUUUGUUAAGUCAGUUGUGAAAGUUUGCGGCUCAACCGUAAAAUUGCAGUUGAAACUGGCAGACUUGAGUACAGUAGAGGUGGGCGGAAUUCGUGGUGUAGCAGUGAAAUGCUUAGAUAUCACGAAGAACUCCGAUUGCGAAGGCAGCUCACUGGACUGCAACUGACACUGAGGCUCGAAAGUGUGGGUAUCAAACAGGAUUAGAUACCCGGGUAGUC